UGCUCUUCCAGCACCACUAAUCCAGGAUCACCAGUCAGGUCAGGCCUACUCUGGAGCUGUUGAACUAUGUAUGUCAGACCUAUGCCAUACCCAGUAGCAAAUUCAUGCUGGCCUUGUGAGACUCCAGAAUAAACUCAAGAGAGUAGAUUACAGCCUUAGCAGCUGAGUCUAUCUGAAGGGCUUUGAUGGAAUCUUAUGCACAUUCAUGAUGAGCAUAUUGUCCAAAAUAGUAUGUAAGGAGAAUAUCCACAAUUAGAUCCAACUGCUCUAUACUCAGUAGUAGCACUGCUUCAAACAGGUUAAAAUUAAAAGCUUGAAGAAGGGCUUAUGCCCGAAACGUCGAUUCUCCUGCUCCUUGGAUGCCACCUGACCUGCUGCGCUUUCCAGCAACGCAUUUUUCAGCUCUGAUCUCCAGCAUCUGCAGUCCUCACUUUCUCCUAAAAUGAAAAACUUUCCAAUCAAAUCUCAAAACAGACAAGGCUGUCUUCUCUCCUGUAUUUUGUUUCUGUGUUGUAAGAAAACCUUUUGGAUGAGUUCAUCAGAAAGAUUGCAAGAUAAGAGGUGAUGAUCUCAGAUUGUGGAGGCAUUCACCCCAAAGCCUUCCUGAACAUGGAGCACAUUCAUGUAUUCUGCUCAAAUCAGUCUGCAGAAUGAUGAGCGUAUUUGACGAGUUUGAAUCUGUCUUAUGAUGUAGAUUAAAUGGCAGUACAGGUGAGGCCAUGUUCUCAGGGUAUUGGGCUGAAUGACAUCUUGUCUGUUUCACUGGUAGAUCAGUUUACUGAAGAUGCUGGGAAUAAAGUUUGGAGAGACGAGAGCAUUCACAAAGAACUUGAACGAUCAUAUAGCUGUAGUAAACCAGUGAAUGUGAGAGCGACACUUCAGAGAUGAGAUGACAGUACAUACUCUUGAUUUCAGGGCAGCUUUUGACCAAGUAUGGCAUCAAGGACUCCAAGCAAAACUGAAAUCAAUGGAAAUUGAGAUGGGGGUACUGUCUGCUAGUCAAAUCAUACCUCACAAAGAAGAAGAUUGUUAUGAUUGUUGGAGGUUGAUCAUCUCAGUCCCAGGACAUCUCUUCAUGACUUCCUUAAUAGUUUCAGAGGCACAGCCAUCAAUAACUUUCCCUCCAUCAUAAGGUCAGGAAUAGGAAAGUUACUGAUAAUUGGACCACUACUCUCAGCUCCCAGAUACUGAAGCAGUCUGUAUCCAUUUAAAGCAAGAUCUGGUCACAUUCAGGCUUGGGCUGAUAAGUGGCAAAUUACAAUCGCACCAUACACGUGACAGGUUAUGACCUUCUUCAAAAAGAGAGAGUCUAACUAUCGCCCCUUGACACUACCAUCAUUAAAUCCUACACUAGCAACAUCCUAGGGUACCAGUGACCAGACAGUGAAUUGGCUACAGGAAGGUUGGAAUUCUUUGGUGAUAAAAUCACUUCUUGUCUCCUCAAAGCCUGUUCAUCAUCUAUAAGGUACAAGUCAGGAAUAUGGUGGAAUACUCCACACUUGACUGGGAGGAUGCAAAUCUAUUAACUCUCACGAAGCUUGACACCAUCCAAGACAAAGCUCGAUCAGCAAUCUAUCUGCCGUCUUCAGUGUUCAUCCUCCUACCAAUAAUAAUUAGUGGUAGCCAUGUGUACCAUCUAAAAGUCGCACUGCAGUAAAUCACUUUCAACAGUAUCAUCCAAAUCCACAAAUUCCAUCACCAAGAAGGAUAAAGGCUAGAAAGAGUGGGACCACCACUAUCUACAGUUCCCUUUCAAUCAUACAGCAUCCUGUCUUUGAAGUAUAUAAUUGUUCCUUCUCUGUUUCUGGGUCAAAAUCCCUUCCGAAGGGAAUUUGUUCCUAAGAGCACUGUGGGUGUUCCUACAACAAUGGACUACAAUGGUUCAAGACAUCAGCUCACCAGAACCUUCUAAAGACUAAUUAGGGAUGGGCAAGAUAUGCUGGACUGACUGUUAAGGUUCACAUCAUACAAGAAACAAACAAAACUAGAUCUUAGCUACGAGAUGCUCAGUUGCUGUAUGUGGAAAAAAUCUGGCACAAAAUUAGUCCUGAAAUAUGCAUUUUCAAGGAAUAUCGUGAAAGAAUGGUAUUUGUCAAGGUUCAUCCUUAAGAUACCAGUCUGUACUCAGCAAACUAUUCCAGAGAUGGCACACUGAGAUAAACAUCUACUGCGGCUAGAACAGCAUCAACAUCAACAAAAAACACUCUUUAGUAUUCCAGUGAUGUCAGAAACUUUCUUGAGCAAUUCACACUUCUGUAUACUUCAAGAAAAGCUAGAAAGAAGCACAGGAAAAGUACAAACAGGAAAGACAUGAUUUACAAACUGUGAUCGAUUUCUGAAAAGCCUUCCAGUUGAGCCAAGGAUUCUUGAAGGAUGUUGUCCCUGACCUUCCUGGGGAGUUAUGACUUCAAAAUGCUGUUUACAGUCGUUUAAUUGCUGCUUUUUAACUUUUGAUGAAAACUUUUGAUGCCCUCAAUGCAAACUCAAUCACAGGGCAAUACUGUGUGGGGAAUUCUUCCAGACAUUAGGUGUCUAAGAAGAUUUUUAAUUCUCACGCCUUUCAGGAUCUGUUGUAUUUCCAAAACAGUAAUUGUAUUCCAACUAGUGUUCUUCAUGGUGCUGUUGAGAUAACACAUCAGUCUGUCUGUUUUUUCGGUCUGAAGUGAAUCGAUAAGAAUCUGCCAUGUGACUUCUGACAGCAUUUUUAAAAAUACUGUGACUAUUUUAGAACAGUGCGUUUGUUGUGAGUGCUAUCGUCAGGUAGAGAAACAAGUAUACAUGCUCAAGAACACAGUGUUGCAGUGUUGUCAUGACCCAGUUACAGGGCACAGGAGCUGUUCGUGGUGCUACCGAUGUAAUUACACAAGUACGUACUGCUGCUGAUUAUACUGAAUUCUGAGGGGCUUGAUUCGAGCUCAGGCCAGAUUUCUUAGUAACUUAAACAGGAAUCAAGGUGCUUCUUCUUCCUUAGCAGCCACUUUCCCCUUGUCCCACCUGGGGUGGAUUGGCAUGAGGAGCCAGAAUGGACUAUGAGAAAAAGCUGAGGCACCACUAAGUAAUAAACGCAUAACUGAUUACUCUGAAAUAAAAAUGGGAAAUCUGCAUAUGAACUGGCAUUGAUGUGACUUACACGUGGAACAUGAUAGCACCAACAGAGAACUUGGAGGCAGAUUCCAAAGACUUGUGACAAGCUGAUGAUUCUGGCCCAAUCUGUAUAUGCACCAACAGCCAUUUUAUCAUCCAUUUGGAUGUUCAGAGUAAUAAUAAUCCAUUCAAAUUAAUCUUCUUUAUAAAAUAUAGAACAUAAUUACAUAUUUGUGAUAGUACGUUGUUCUUCAUUGUUUCUUCUGUCUCUUUCACUCAAUCCCAAAGCCUGUCAGGAGUGUAAUGGAAUGCUCUCCACUUUCCUGGGUUAGUGCGGCUACAACAACACUCAAGAAACUUGACAGUACCCAAGACACAGAAGCUGCUUGAUCGGUACCUCAUCUGCCACUUUAAAUAUUUAUUCCAUCCACCACCAGCACAAAAUGGCAGCAGAGUGUGCCAACCACAAGAUGUAUGACAGCAACUCAUGAAGGCUCCUCCAAAUCCACAACCUCUAGGAAUUAGGUAGACAAGGGUAGUAGAUGCAUGAGAUCAUCAGCAAGUUUUCCUCCAAGCCGCACACUAUCCUGGAAUGGAACCAAUUACCAUUCCUUCACUGUCACUGGGUCAAAAUUUUGGAUCUUUCUCUUAUUAACACUGUGGCUGUGCUGACACCCCAUGGACUGCAGCAGUUCAGUGAAGUGACUCACCAGUACUAUGUCAAG
Molecule: non-coding RNA, 3809 nt
Organism: Chiloscyllium plagiosum (whitespotted bambooshark)
Lineage: Eukaryota; Metazoa; Chordata; Chondrichthyes; Orectolobiformes; Hemiscylliidae
Source: RefSeq, a predicted model, not a curated record